ACCAAUGUCAGUGGUACAGGCCCAGGGGAUAGAUGCAGUGUUUGAGUGUCGGUACCCUGGAGCACAAAGUUACAAAUGUGUGCCGGCUCAAUGGAGAGUUUCCUACACAUGAUAAUUUCCCACCUGAUGUAACUGUUAUCUUACCGUCUGGUGAUAUCCCAACAAAACUGAUCAUAGCCACAGGCCAGUGCAACAACACUGUUGUGCAGUGUGAGGCAGUAGUUAGAGACGGACGAGCUAGUGUUCAUACCUGAAUUAUCAGUAAAUUCUACCUUGCAAGUACAAGGUCCUCUUUCAGCUGUCUCCAACCUCCAUGCUCAGUCAUCAAGCACCAACAUCACAAUCACCUGGGAUGCUCCCUUCUCUCUUAACCU
This is a long non-coding RNA of Halichondria panicea, 374 nucleotides long. RefSeq lists it as uncharacterized. Lineage: Eukaryota; Metazoa; Porifera; Demospongiae; Suberitida; Halichondriidae. The record is from RefSeq and is a predicted model, not a curated record. The transcript is spliced from 2 exons.